This is a small nuclear RNA of Impatiens glandulifera, 162 nucleotides long. RefSeq annotates it as U1 spliceosomal RNA. The transcript has a single exon. NCBI's taxonomy places the organism in Eukaryota, Viridiplantae, Streptophyta, Magnoliopsida, Ericales, Balsaminaceae. The record is from RefSeq and is a predicted model, not a curated record.
UUACUUACCUGGACAGGGUCAAUGGGUGAUCAUUAAGUCCCAUGGCCUAGAUUUGUGACCUACAUUGCACAUUGUAGGGGUGCAUGUCUAAGGUCAGCCCAAAUUGGUUGAGCUUAUGUCAUAAUUUGUGUCAGUAGGGGCCUGCGUUCGCGCGGCCCCUUU